Molecule: long non-coding RNA, 662 nt
Organism: Dendrobium catenatum
Lineage: Eukaryota; Viridiplantae; Streptophyta; Magnoliopsida; Asparagales; Orchidaceae
Exons: 3
Source: RefSeq, a predicted model, not a curated record
AAAGAAGUGGUGUGCAUAUAAAGAAGUGCAGAUAUUUAGAGAACAGUGGAUGUGUGGGAAUGUGUGUGAACAUGUGCAAGAUUCCAACACAAGAUUUCUUUACAAAUGAAUUUGGGCUUCCACUGACAAUGAAUCCAACUUUGGAUCAGAGGCCUCAAUCGAGUCUUCAGGGUUCCUGUGCUUGCCAAACAACAGUUUUCUUAAGCUCGCCCAUAUGAGAAUUAUAGGUGGUCACCUUGAAAAGGUAGAGAGCAAAUAGCUUAAAUAGAAAAUUUGAUUGAAUUAUAAUUUCAUUUAACAUGUCAUUUGCCGACAUGUCAUUUCGAUUAAGAGAACUGAAAAGAAGUAUUUCUUAUUACUUCUUAAAACUGCUUUUUAGUAAAAAAAAAAUAUUUUUGUUCUACAAAGCUGUUUUAUGAAGCAGUGCGAAAGUCGUCACAAACAAUACCCUAUUCAUAAAUCAUGCAAAAUAAAUUGCUAAAUGAGGUUAUGUGUACUCUAAGCUCAUCAUAAAGCUACUAUACCAUUUUGAAGCUAAAAUCUGGUUCCAUUUGUUUUAAGGGUAACAUUUAUCCAAUUUUUUUGUAAGUUAGAUUAAGGAUCAUUUGAUUCGUUAAAUGUGAUGAACAAAGCUAUUUUUUGAUCAAUUUUUUGAAAAAUUA